Molecule: long non-coding RNA, 1003 nt
Filed under: Homo sapiens (human)
Lineage: Eukaryota; Metazoa; Chordata; Mammalia; Primates; Hominidae
Description: HSALNT0192273
Source: RNAcentral
CACUAUUGUCUGUAAAAGGUAUAAUUACCCUGCUAACACUGUACAUAUGGCUCACUUGCACCCAGAGAGAGAGUGAAGCCAUGUCAAAACUGUGUGAUUCCUUGAGUGUUUUUCCAGCUACCCACUACUCACCCACCGACUCCCCUUGGACCUCAGUUAGAAUGUGACAAUUGGUGUCACGACCAGGAUCUCGAGGUGAAUGAGCCUUCAGUCCCUACUGAUUCUGGGUCAGCCUUGUUGCCACAACAUGGACUGUGGUACCUGGAGACAGCUCUGCUACUUGGAUGGGCUCUGGUGGAAACCUGAUUGGCAGUAGAUGGGUCCCCAGUGAGCAUGGAGAAGGCACUGAAGCAGCUGGAAGCACAGAGCACCACCAAGAAGGAGCGAGCUUUUGCUGGAAGCAUUGGACGAGCUUUUUUGACUGCACUACAAGAAGUACACACUCAGUUCCUGAGGGAUGCAGAUCUCAGAGAAAUUAAAACAGAACUACCACUGGGCCCAGCAAUCCUAUUAUUGGAUAUCUACCCCAAAGAAAACAAAUUAUUCUACCAAAAAGACACGUACAUGCACUUGCAUGUUCAUUGCAGCACUACUCACAAUGGCAAAAACAUGGAAUCAAUUUAAGUACCCAUCAAUGGUCAAUUGGAUAAAGAAAAUGUGGUGCAUAUAUGCAAUGGGAUACUAUACACCCAUAAGAAAUAAUAAAAUCAUGCCUUUUGCAACCAAUUGCAUGCAUCUGGAGAUCAUUUGUCUUAAGUAAAUUAAUACAGGAACAGAAAACAAAAUACCACAUGUUUUCACUUAUAAGUGGGAGCUAAAUAUUGAGUAUUCAUGGACAUAAAGACGGAAACCAUAGUCACUGGAGACUACUAGAUGGGGGAGAGAGGGAGGCAGGUAAGAGUUGAAAAACUAACCAUUGUGUACAAUGAUGACUGCUUGGGUGACUGACAGGAUCAUUUAUAUUCCAAACCCCAGCAUGAUGCAAUAUACCUAUGCAACAAAC